UAUUUACAUUUGUCCAGAAUUUCCUAUUUUUAUAAUUUUUUAAAAUGGGCGGUUGAGACAAUUUCUCCAAUUCCUGGCCUUGUAAUUCGCAAUUCAAGACACCUUCAAUUUUCCCCACCACCUCCGCCGCCGCUUCCACCACCGGGAAACUCCUCAAAACCUUCAUUUUCCCCCAGAACCACCAAAAAUCCAACCUCAACCGCAAAUUCCCACCCUAAAACCGUAAUCCCCACUUCCUCUGACCCAGAAAAAACCCUCUUCCUCGCUUAGAUUCACUCUCUCCCCUCCCUUCUUCCGCUAUUGCAGCAGCUUCUUCAAACAUUGGAAUAUGUGUAUGUGUUGCUUAUGCCCCCUCUUUUGAUUUUCCUUUUAUUGAUCAAUCUGUUUGUUUAGUAAACCUAGGACUUGUAAUUUUGAAAUGACAGUACUAUGUUACAAAUAUUAUAUUUUAGGGUUGACAAAGGAUGAAUUGUUUCUUCGUUAGUUUAUUCAUUAUUGAGCUUAAAAACCCAUAACCUAAGGUGGAAAAUCAAUACGUUAUUCUUGAAUUUGGGUAUCCAUUUCAUUUUGGCAUUCAAUGUAAUUGGUAUAGAGAGACAUCUAUGAAAUGAUUAAUCAAUCUUGCAACUAUCCCUAGGUGUAUUUGGAUUAGGAUUUUCAUUCUAAUUUUAGAUCAGGGUUUCAAUUAUAGUUAGUGAAAUCAUCUUUAUGAAUAGCUUUGUGAGUAUAAUUUUAUAUUUGAAUAUAUGGAAUGCAAUCUAUAUCAUUUAAUGAAGGAACGACAGAGAUGAUGAAAGACUUUACAGUUUCUCAUCUAUAGAGAUGAUGAAAGACUUUAUAGUUUUUAACCUGUACUGGAAUGCAAUCUAUAUCAUUUAAUGAAGGAACGACAGAGACCUUUUCGGAACAAGAUAAGAAACCUCUUGACCCAGGUUCUUCAAGGGCUGGCACACUUGCAUAGGAAUGAAUACUUUCAUCGGGAUCUAAAACCUGAGAAUCUUUUGGUAACGAAUGAUGUGAUCAAAAUUGUUGAUUUUGGACUCGCCAGGGAGCUUUCAUCAAUGCCUCCUUGUACUAAUUAUGUUUCAACACGCUGGUACCGGGCCCUAGAAGUUCUCUUAAAGUCUUCAACUUACACUCCUGCAAUUGAUAUGUGGGCAAUUGGUGCAGUCAUGGCUGAACUUUUAACCGUGUGUCCUAUUUUCCCUAGAGAAGUGCUGAUUAUAUAGACUAUAGCUUGGCAGAUCCUGGAUCAAGUCCUUGGAUGAGCAACUGGUGCAUACAGACCACAAACUCACAAUUAGGUAAUAAUUGAUUUGUGCAUGAUGGAUCUAACUUAGCAUCUGAUCCAUUUCUUACUGACAUAUUAUUUGGUUACCACUUGACCUUAUACAAGCAUAGUCUGAUCCGAGGUGGAGAAUUUAGUGUAAUGCUGUUGAAUUUCAAUCUUCCAGAAAGCUGCUACUGCUACUUUCCAUGUUGAUGGGUUUGAUUCUACUCUCAAGAUAUCCAAUUCCAUGCAUAUAUGAUCAAUUUGUUUUGUUGUUUAUUUACUUAUGGUCUUAAGAUUUUUCUAUUUACUUCAAUCAUAUAGUUUUGAGAUUUUUUUUUUUAAACUUAUUCAAUCAAUCAUGAGAAUGAUGCAUUUGAUCGUACGGGAUGGAGGAGGAAGAUUUUUGUGGAUGACUAUACGGAAUAAUCACUUUUGUUUCAUGUAGCCGACCCCACUUAUAAGGCUUUGAUUGAUUUAUUAAUGCUAUUACCUUAUCAGGCAUAUCCUAUAAUUAUUUCACAUAGCAGCCAUGUCAUAUUCUAUAACCUUAGAUGAUAUAAGUGAAGAGAGAGAUAAGGUAUGAAGUCAUAAAAAAAGGGAGCAAGGAGAAGAGGGGGGAGAAAGAUUGAGAAAGAGAAAGAGAAAGAGAAAGAGGGAGUUUGAGGAAAUAGAGGAAGGAGGGAGAAUAUUUUUUUAAAGUUUGGGUAAGGAGACGAUAGUAUUAUUUUAAACCCUUUCCCCUAUGCCAAAUUAUAGCUUUUAUAGCCUUUUUUUUUUUUUUUUUUUUUUGUUUUACAGUGGUUUUGCUUGCCAUGACUGCUAUUAAUAUAGUUGAAAAGGUUGAAUUAUAGCGGUUAAAGAAAAACGCUACAUUAAUGACAUAGGUUCUCUCAUAACCGCUAUUAAAGCCCUCUUUUAUUAAACCCCUCUUCUGAUCCUCAGCCAAACCAGAAUGCAAGUUUUUGAGUAAUUUGUGUGUUAGUUAUAAUCUGUUGAUAAUUUGAUUUCCUGGAAGCUACAAUUGUAAAGACAUUACUGUUGUAGCAAUGAGGUGUUUUGAUUGGUUUCUUGUUGGACUUUUUUGAAUCUUGAGUGUUUGUUGGAGUCAAUGAAAUAAUAUUGUUGUUCUGAAUAUGAAAAAAGAAUGGAUAAUGGGGAGCUGAACUGCUAAUGUACCUUAUAGAUGGAUAUAUAACUGUGAUGUUCGUUAUAAUUCACAGUAGAGGCCUGUAGUCGAAAGGAAUUAGAGUGCAGUUCAUGAAUCGUGAAUAGGCCCUAAAAGCUUCUAAUGUAUCUUAGUGAGCAAAAUGUGUGCUUCUAUAUGAUCUGGAAUCCAUGCGCUUACUUGUUGAGUGACUUGUUUGUAAUCAUUUUGUAAAUCAACUUUCUGAUUCUCACUUCACUGUCUCCACUGCUUCUGUGUUGUGUGGAUGACAGGCAAAUGAAGCAACUGAGCUAGCAAUAAGGACAAUAUACAGUUGAUGGAGAUUGAGUUUCCAACUUCUGGACUACAAUCAGUGCAGGUUUUACAUAUAUUCUUUGUCUGGUAUAUGACCCAUCUCCCUUUCUCCGUCCUUAUGUCCAUCAAUUACUCUGAAUGUACCAGCUGGUUUAAAUGUAUAAUUUUAUGAUCCCUGGCUCGGGUGAUGGUGAAGGGGUACAGAAAUGACUGAGAAGCAUGCAGUUGAUCCGAGUUCUGUGACCGCCUUGUAGCUGCAGAAAAAAGCUACCAGGACCAGGAUAGUUUGAAUGUUUCUGUAAAAUUAUAUGUAUUCUCCUUUUCAUAUAAUAUUUGGGGUCUGUAUUGCUUGAAUUAUUCAUGUGCAUACUUCAUUCUAAAUAUUUCUUAAUCUUCUAA
Chenopodium quinoa (quinoa) is the source of this 3131-nucleotide RNA transcript. It is a transcript of the gene named serine/threonine-protein kinase MHK-like, with no coding region annotated. Lineage: Eukaryota; Viridiplantae; Streptophyta; Magnoliopsida; Caryophyllales; Amaranthaceae. The record is from RefSeq and is a predicted model, not a curated record. The transcript is spliced from 7 exons.